CCAUGCAGUCGACGAUGAAGCCGGAGCUUGCUCUGGUGGAUUAGUGGCGAACGGGUGAGUAACACGUGAGUAACCUGCCCCUGACUCUGGGAUAAGCGCUGGAAACGGCGUCUAAUACCGGAUAUGCGCUGUAACCGCAUGGUUUGCAGCGGGAAAGAUUUAUCGGUUGGGGAUGGACUCGCGGCCUAUCAGCUUGUUGGUGAGGUAAUGGCUCACCAAGGCGUCGACGGGUAGCCGGCCUGAGAGGGUGACCGGCCACACUGGGACUGAGACACGGCCCAGACUCCUACGGGAGGCAGCAGUGGGGAAUAUUGCACAAUGGGCGCAAGCCUGAUGCAGCAACGCCGCGUGAGGGAUGACGGCCUUCGGGUUGUAAACCUCUUUUAGCAGGGAAGAAGCCUUCGGGUGACGGUACCUGCAGAAAAAGCGCCGGCUAACUACGUGCCAGCAGCCGCGGUAAUACGUAGGGCGCAAGCGUUAUCCGGAAUUAUUGGGCGUAAAGAGCUCGUAGGCGGUUUGUCACGUCUGCUGUGAAAACUGGAGGCUCAACCUCCAGCCUGCAGUGGGUACGGGCAGACUAGAGUGCGGUAGGGGAGAUUGGAAUUCCUGGUGUAGCGGUGGAAUGCGCAGAUAUCAGGAGGAACACCGAUGGCGAAGGCAGAUCUCUGGGCCGUUACUGACGCUGAGGAGCGAAAGGGUGGGGAGCAAACAGGCUUAGAUACCCUGGUAGUCCACCCCGUAACGUUGGGAACUAGUUGUGGGGGCUUUUCUACGGUCUCCGUGACGCAGCUAACGCAUUAAGUUCCCCGCCUGGGGAGUACGGCCGCAAGGC
RNAcentral lists this ribosomal RNA (832 nucleotides) under Microbacterium sp. RNAcentral's name for it is "bacterial SSU rRNA". It matches the Rfam family "Bacterial small subunit ribosomal RNA", at positions 53 to 894 of the family's 1533-position model. The record is from RNAcentral. Lineage: Bacteria; Bacillati; Actinomycetota; Actinomycetes; Micrococcales; Microbacteriaceae.